GACGAACGCUGGCGGCGUGCCUAAUACAUGCAAGUAGAACGCUGAAGGAGGAGCUUGCUUCUCCGGAUGAGUUGCGAACGGGUGAGUAACGCGUAGGUAACCUGCCUGGUAGCGGGGGAUAACUAUUGGAAACGAUAGCUAAUACCGCAUAACAGUAGAUAUUGCAUGAUAUCUGCUUGAAAGGUGCAAUUGCAUCACUACCAGAUGGACCUGCGUUGUAUUAGCUAGUUGGUGAGGUAACGGCUCACCAAGGCGACGAUACAUAGCCGACCUGAGAGGGUGAUCGGCCACACUGGGACUGAGACACGGCCCAGACUCCUACGGGAGGCAGCAGUAGGGAAUCGUCGGCAAUGGACGGAAGUCUGACCGAGCAACGCCGCGGGAGUGAAGAAGGUUUUCGGAUCGUAAAGCUCUGUUGUAAGAGAAGAACGAGUGUGAGAGUGGAAAGUUCACACUGUGACGGUAUCUUACCAGAAAGGGACGGCUAACUACGUG
RNAcentral lists this ribosomal RNA (495 nucleotides) under uncultured bacterium. RNAcentral describes it as "partial 16S ribosomal RNA". It matches the Rfam family "Bacterial small subunit ribosomal RNA", at positions 28 to 507 of the family's 1533-position model. The record is from RNAcentral.